RNAcentral lists this transfer RNA (59 nucleotides) under Halioglobus sp. RNAcentral describes it as "tRNA-Pro". It matches the Rfam family "tRNA", at positions 9 to 64 of the family's 71-position model. Rfam says of the family: Transfer RNA (tRNA) molecules are approximately 80 nucleotides in length. Their secondary structure includes four short double-helical elements and three loops (D, anti-codon, and T loops). The record is from RNAcentral. Lineage: Bacteria; Pseudomonadati; Pseudomonadota; Gammaproteobacteria; Cellvibrionales; Halieaceae.
AGCGCAGCCUGGUAGCGCACUUCCUUGGGGUGGAAGGGGUCGCUGGUUCAAAUCCAGUC